UACGUAGGGGGCGAGCGUUACCCGGAUUCACUGGGCGUAAAGGGGGCGUAGGUGGCCGUGUAAGUCCGGUGUGAAAAGCCACGGCUCAACCGUGGACCUGCGCGUGAAACUACAUGGCUUGAGGACGGUAGAGGGAGACGGAACUGCUGGUGUAGCGGUGAAAUCCGUAGAUAUCAGCAGGAACGCCGGUGGGGAAGCCGGUCUCCUGGGCCGUUCCUGACGCUGAGGCCCGAAAGCUAGGGGAGCAAACCGG
RNAcentral lists this ribosomal RNA (253 nucleotides) under uncultured microorganism. RNAcentral's name for it is "partial 16S ribosomal RNA". It matches the Rfam family "Bacterial small subunit ribosomal RNA", at positions 524 to 776 of the family's 1533-position model. The record is from RNAcentral.